Molecule: long non-coding RNA, 951 nt
Filed under: Sus scrofa (pig)
Lineage: Eukaryota; Metazoa; Chordata; Mammalia; Artiodactyla; Suidae
Description: lncRNA (ENSSSCG00030058946.1)
Source: RNAcentral
ACAGGAAGGGGACAUCAGUGCUCAGAGGGGCACGAGAAUUCAUAGAAAAGCUGAGGGAGCUGAGGUUAUUACAAAAUCUCAACUCUGGUUCCCUGUGCCUGAGAAAAACGGCCUAAACAAAGCACAGGUGAGGGUUUGUGGUGGCCUCCCGUCUGGGGAUCCAAGGCAUUCUGCCUCCUUGGAAGUUCUUGGCCUCUCGGCACUCCCAGUCGAUGGAGGUGUUGUCAGUGGACAAAGAUGAACAUUCCAGAAGAAAAGGCUUGAAACCAGCAGGCAUCAGAGAGAGCUCACAGCUGCUAAGAAGCUGGAGGCAUCCGGGCUGGUCUCUGCCCACCCCCACAACUGUUAGGCCACAGAUGCGGCAGGCAGGGCUGAGCAGCCCGGGUGGGGAGAAAGGGCAGAAGAGGAUUAUGGGAGGUCCCUGGGGAAACCUCAGGCAGAUUGAGGACGUUGCCCCCCACCAGCCCCCUCUCCAGGCUCAGAGGCGGUCAGAGUAGAGGCACACAGUGCUUGUCUGGGGCAGGUGGGCUUUAGCGCACACACUUUCAGGCCUUCAUUAAGAUUCAUCCUCCCCCGUGACCUGUCUCCUGGGUCCUGACCUGCAGCCCAGGGGUAGGGGGGGGUUCCCCUUCUGUGGGGCUGCCCCAAGGCCCUUGCUGAGAGGCUAGGCACACCAGGCCUGUGUUAAGACUUGCCAAACUGCACCAGGAUCGCAGUAUCCAUUGUGGGAGGCGGAGAUUUUGCCCAGAUAAUUCUCUCUCCUUUCCAGCCCCAAUCCUAGCCCUGGCCUGGAGCCUUCCAGCCCCUACAGGCUGGGGUAGGAGAUGGGAUGGGUGGUACUGCCUGAAGGCAGAGAGGCCUACAGGUUGGUCCCCAGACCCCUAACGCCCUCGUGGUCUCUGGCUUGGGAAAGCCACGUAUGAAUAAACAUAGCUCAAUGAUACCAUCCAA